AACGAACGCUGGCGGCGCGCCUAACACAUGCAAGUCGAACGAGAAUCCGGGGCAACCCGGUAGUAAAGUGGCAAACGGGUGAGGAAUACAUGGGUAACCUACCCUUGAGAAGGGAAUAACCCGCCGAAAGGUGAGCUAAUACCCUAUACGCUAUCUUUUUUUCGAAAGGGUAGGAAGCCGGGUCGAGGACCUGGUACUCAAGGAGGGGCUCAUGUCCUAUCAGCUUGUUGGUGGGGUAACGGCCUACCAAGGCUACGACGGGUAGCUGGUCUGAGAGGAUGAUCAGCCACACUGGCACUGAGAUACGGGCCAGACUCCUACGGGAGGCAGCAGUGAGGAAUAUUGCGCAAUGGGCGAAAGCCUGACGCAGCGACGCCGCGUGGGGGAUGAAGGUUUUCGGAUUGUAAACCCCUUUCAUGAGGAAAGAUAAAGUGGGUAACCACUUAGACGGUACCUCAAGAAGAAGCCACGGCUAACUUCGUGCCAGCAGCCGCGGUAAA
RNAcentral lists this ribosomal RNA (500 nucleotides) under uncultured bacterium. Its description in RNAcentral is "bacterial SSU rRNA". It matches the Rfam family "Bacterial small subunit ribosomal RNA", at positions 29 to 524 of the family's 1533-position model. The record is from RNAcentral.